AAGAACAAAGGAAGAAAAGAAGAACACAAACCCUAGGUGGAAAAAUUCAAGGGAAAAGUGUGGAAAUUCAAGUAAUCAAGCAAUUAAAGGUAAAAUUUCUUGAUUUUGACUUAUGAUCUACCUUUCCCAUGCAUUAUUUUUCAUUUUUCAUGGUUGAAUCACAAGAUGUCAUGAAGUAUUCAUGGCUGACCAAAUUUAGAGAGAGAAGAUUUGAUGGUUGUUUAGUUAGAUUUUAAGAUAUUCUAGUGUUUUUAGUUAGUUAGUGAUGUGUAGCAUGAAAAUCAAACAAGAAAAAUUCAUUUUCUCCCAUAACCCAUCAUUGCCCGAAUUCUCCAUGUAGAAUAUUGAUGAUGAUUUUGAUUUUAUUUCAAGUGAUUUGGUUAGGAAUUAGUGAUUUGUGGUGUGAGAAUCAAGUAGGAAAAAUUAUGGUGUUGAUGCACUCAAAAUGGCCGAAUUUUUCAAGAGAAAAUGUGAGGAUGAUUUUGCCACAUUUCAAGUUAUUUAAAUUGUGUUUAAUGAUUUGGAGUAUUGGGAGAAAAAUGGAGUUAAUUGGAGUUGAAUUGGACAUAUUGGCCAAUUAAUCAGGUGAUAAGACAAAUUAGGCCAAUAUUGGGUUUAGAUUGUUACCCGUGCAUUUUGCAUUUCAUAUUAUGCAUUAGUAGUCUAAAUUAGUUUAAUUUCUAUUUAGUACCAAUGUAGUAAGUUUCUUGAUUUUGUACUAUGUCAAGGUGGUGAGUCCACCGAUAAAGGCAAGAAAAUUGCAUCCGAGGACUAGUAGUCAGAGUACUUCAAAAAUCCGCACUCUAGACAUUGUGAGUAACCUUACUAUCGUCUUAAUUAUCUAAAGUGAUUUUUAUUUGAUUUUGUGUUUUAUGGAAAAUGAGUUUAAAUGGUAAAUCUUUAUGUUUUAUAAGCAAAAUGUGAUUAAAUGAAAAUGACUUUAUAAAAUUGUCUUGAAAUUGAAAGAUGAUUUUGAAAAUGGAGUAAUUGGAGAGUAAUUGCUGUGUUAUAAAUCAUGGUUUGAAUUGAAUGGCUUAUGACAAUAUUGGCAUGAAUGGCUGAAUUGGUAUUUGUGUUGAAAUGUAUAAACUGUUGUUUGCCUUGAUAGGCUAGAUAAUGGUAAAAAUAGCCAUGUCAUGUUGUUGAAUUUUUAUUGUAUGGUGGGUUUAGCUUGCUUCAGUGGGCUGGUUUUGUGGACUAGCCUAUUAGAGGGGCACAAAACCUGGUCAUAUUCAUACCUCAGUAUGAGAGGCGCGAAUGGAUAACUCCUGAGGUUAACACUUUAGAGUUCACUUCACGCCAAACCACCACGUGAGGGGAACUCGGCCAACGCCAAGGAACGGCUAUGUUUUCAAAAUAAAAACAUGAUUUAUGCGUACAUAACUUUUUAACAGCCUUGGCGGACUCGGUUGAGAUAGCCCUCGAUCAAGGCAUCCUUGAUAACUGGGUAUGAGAAUGAUUUUGGCACGAGCCAAAGCUUUUAAGAAAUUCAUAAGCUAUGUUGAUUACUCGAUUUAUAUGAAUUGAUUUUAUUUGGUUGAAAUGAGUUUGAAAGGUAAUGAAUUACAGUAUAUUAAAUUAUUUAUCUGUCUCCAUUUAGUCAGUUUUAGAUAUUUUAGAUAGUAUUUGUUUACUCAUUGGGAUUAUAUAAUCUCACCACCCUCAUUUCCACCCCUUUCAGGCUUAGGAUAGUCGGUAGAUAGCUCACUUUGUUGAGGGCUACAAUUGGACUUGCAUCCUAAAAAACUGUAGGUUUACUGCUUUUAAUACUUUUGGUCGUUAAUGGGCCCACUUAUUACUGUAAAUUAAAUUAAAUACUCUGGCUUACUGUAGUACAAUAUAUAUGAAUUUAUUUUACUUUUACGCUGUAAAAAUUAUUUAUGCAGUGUUCUAAAAAUAUU
Molecule: long non-coding RNA, 1901 nt
Filed under: Theobroma cacao (cacao)
Lineage: Eukaryota; Viridiplantae; Streptophyta; Magnoliopsida; Malvales; Malvaceae
Description: long non-coding RNA (TCAC_LNC002468)
Source: RNAcentral